Molecule: long non-coding RNA, 473 nt
Filed under: Homo sapiens (human)
Lineage: Eukaryota; Metazoa; Chordata; Mammalia; Primates; Hominidae
Description: HSALNT0372912
Source: RNAcentral
AUCACUGCCCCACUCAUGCCGCAGGAUAUAAAGCAGAGUGACAGGGUCACAGGACUGCCAGAGGAAUACAGCUUCUAGAGGCUACCCACAUUCCUGGGCUAAUGGCCCCUUCCUACAUCUUCAAAGCCAGCAGUGGUGGGCUGAGUCUUUCUCCUGGUAUCAUCUCUUCAUUCUCUAUCUCCCUCUCCCAAUUUUAAGGACCUCUGUGAUUAUAUUGGGCACCUGGAUAUUGCAGGAUACGCUCUCUAUUUUAAGGCUAUGCUCCGUAAAGAGAGUGCCUCCUCUAGAAUCACAAGACCUAAGCAUGAAUCUUCCUUUGAAGGAUAAAAUGGAAGGAAAAAAACUGGAUGAGGAAAAGAAGAGUGGGGAAUAGAAAGAGAGAGAGAGAGAAAGAUGGAUAAAUUUUUAAAGUUACUAUAAUAAAAAUCUUCUACAACGAAACUAUAAUUGUUGAUCAGCAAAUGUGAACUAAU